UGGGGAAUAUUGCACAAUGGGCGCAAGCCUGAUGCAGCAACGCCGCGUGCGGGAUGACGGCCUUCGGGUUGUAAACCGCUUUCAGCAGGGACGAAGCGCAAGUGACGGUACCUGCAGAAGAAGCACCGGCCAACUACGUGCCAGCAGCCGGGUGAUACGUAGGGUGCGAGCGUUGUCCGGAAUUAUUGGGCGUAAAGAGCUUGUAGGCGGUUUGUCGCGUCGAAAGUGAAAACUCAGGCCUUAAUCCUGAGCUUGCUUCCGAUACGGGCUGACUAGAGGAAGGUAGGGGAGAGUGGAAUUCCUGGUGGAGCGGUGGAAUGCGCAGAUAUCAGGAGGAACACCAGUGGCGAAGGCGGCUCUCUGGACCUUUCCUGACGCUGAGAAGCGAAAGCGUGGGGAGCAAACAGG
Molecule: ribosomal RNA, 408 nt
Filed under: uncultured prokaryote
Also listed under: 1 other name
Description: bacterial SSU rRNA
Rfam family: Bacterial small subunit ribosomal RNA
Source: RNAcentral